GACGAACGCUGGCGGCGCGCUUAACACAUGCAAGUCGAGCGAUGAAUCUUUAACAGAACCCUUCGGGGCGAGGAUAAAGUGGAUUCGCGUCUGACGGGUGCGUAACACGUGAGUAACCUGCCUUAGACAUUGGGAUAGUCUCGGGUAACCUGGUUUAAUACCACAUAAAAUCAUAAUGACACAUGUCAUUACGAUCAAAACUCCGGUGGUCUAAGAUGGACUCGCGUCCCAUUCUCUAGUUGGUAGAGUAAAAGCCUACCACGGCGACGAUGGGUAGCCGGACUGAGAGGGGGAACGGCCACAAUAGAACUGAGAAACGGUCCAAACUCCUACGGGAGGCAGCAGGGGGGAAUAUUGCACAAUGGAGGGAACUCUGAGGCAGCGACGCCGCGUGAACGAAGAAGGCUUUCGAGAGGGAAAGUCCUUUUAUAUGGGAAGAUAAUGACGGUACCAUAAGAAAAAGCCCCGGCUAACUACGUG
Molecule: ribosomal RNA, 480 nt
Filed under: uncultured bacterium
Lineage: Bacteria
Description: partial 16S ribosomal RNA
Rfam family: Bacterial small subunit ribosomal RNA
Source: RNAcentral